CGAUGAGGCUCCCACCUUCCACUAGCAAAUCUCUUGAAAUUGAAGGGUAAACACCCCUCUUACAACCUUUUAUAAGCAGCUCAACCUCUUACAAAUUUUCAAUAAGAAAGAAGGAGGAGAACUCUCUAGCAAAUUGAAAACAAGACUUGCUAAGACUUUCUAAGACUUUUCUCUCAAUCAAAUGCUUCUCAAAAGUUGUAACCUCAGCUAAGAUUUGAGGGCUAUUUAUAGGCCUCAAGAGGAUUCAAAUUUGGGCUCCAAAAUUUGAAUUCUCUUUAGGUUCCCG
This 286-nucleotide long non-coding RNA is filed under the name Musa acuminata (dwarf banana). RNAcentral describes it as "long non-coding RNA (MACU_LNC007060)". Lineage: Eukaryota; Viridiplantae; Streptophyta; Magnoliopsida; Zingiberales; Musaceae. The record is from RNAcentral.